Molecule: RNA transcript, 3687 nt
Organism: Siniperca chuatsi (mandarin fish)
Lineage: Eukaryota; Metazoa; Chordata; Actinopteri; Centrarchiformes; Sinipercidae
Gene: pdgfab
Gene name: platelet-derived growth factor alpha polypeptide b
Exons: 7
Source: RefSeq, a predicted model, not a curated record
GGCACGGAGCUGCUGGCUCUCUAUAUCCAGCGGCUCAGAGGCGCUCUGACUCCAUUCACUUCAGAGUCCCACACAGCCAAGGACCCGUGCAGACUGCUGCAAGACAGGCUCUGGAUCGCACAACACGGACAACUUUCUCCCUAGUGAUUUGCUGAGAGGAUCUGCUUGUUUGGAUUAUAAUAUUUUAGGACUCUUAAAUACUGUCAUAGAGAAAACAGUCGUGCGUCUUAAUUCUGUAUAAUUCUAACAGCUGCGUUUCUUGUUUGAUAUUUCAGUAAACUGGGCUGAAGUUUGAAGCCUAUUUGUUAGAGGGUGAAGGACAAGUGCAAUGCGCGUCAGACUUGUAUCCUGGGAUUGUCCCAUUUGCGCCUGAGGAGCUAUGUCGAGCUGCCGCACAGCGCUUGUUCAAGAGGACGCAGUCCAAUGUGAAUAACAAGAGUCAACUUCCAGCCUCUUCAGCACAGUUACAAGCAGUGCAGCAAGGGAGAGUGACUAACCCCGCUGAGCAGCUCUGACACUCCGGUUUCUCUCCCCGAGGGGAUGGUUGUGGAUCCUGUGGGGCCAGGAGCGAUUCUGCGGCUCCUACAGAAUAGCACCUUUUUCUUGUUUGGGGUUAAAUCUAAAUUAAAGGGAGAUGAGAGCCGCACUUUGUUACUUCCUGCUGUGGACGACGUACCUGCUGCUGGCCACCUCUGAGGAAGUGGAGUUUCCCCAGGAGCUGUUAGACAGACUGUCCCACAGUGAAAUCCACAGCAUCAGCGACCUCCAGCGGCUGUUGGACAUUGACUCCGUAGGUACGGGAAACGAUGUUAUUGAGGAGCCCAAGCACCACAAGCACCACAACCACCAUAAGAACUACUCCAGAGGUCAUGGUUACUACAAUGACCUGAAGAACUCCCAGCUCCACAGCCGACGCAAGAGGAGCAUCGAGGAGGCGGUCCCUGCGGUGUGUAAGACGCGGACGGUGAUCUACGAGAUCCCCAGGAGCCAGGUGGAUCCCACGUCUGCCAACUUCCUGAUAUGGCCGCCCUGUGUGGAGGUGAAGCGCUGCACGGGCUGCUGUAACACAAGCAACAUGCGCUGCCACCCUUCCCGCAAGCAGCACCGCACCGUUAAGGUAGCAAAGGUGGAGUAUGUGAAGAGGAAGCCCAAGCUGAAAGAGGUCUUUGUGCGGUUAGAGGACCACCUGGAGUGUGUGUGCACGUCACAACAUCAUGUGGUGGAGCACUCAGAUGCAGAAACAGGCCACCGUAGGGCUAAAGGUAAAAAAAGGAAACCUAAAAAACUAAGGCCCAGCAAGGAUUUAUUGGCGACAUAAUAAAGUUUCACUCAUUACCCAAAGUCCACUGGAGAGCUGUGAAGGGAACAGUGGACGUGAGGUGAGACCAAUCAGAACAAGGGACUUCAGCGUGGGAGGGAUCUAAACAGAGGAUGCCACCAACAGGAGACCUGCUCUGUCCUCAUUCCCACUCCAAUGCAACCUUUGUUUAAAAAAACUAACUUUUCUGUAAAGAAGAGAGACUGACAAUAGACAACAUACAAAAAUAACUAAGAUGCCAAAGGUGCUUUUUUUUAAAAACAGUAACCAGUGAUAAUGACUUCCUCUGUGGUAUGCCACCUACCCAGACAACUGAACCCUGCCGCUGAUUAAGAAGAAAAGAGAAAGAAGCUGUAGAGCUCAGGCAAGGCAGAAAGAGGCCGAAGGGAGAUGAUGAAAGGGAUUCGUGUUGAACAUUUUUACAGACUUUGUUUGAACAAGAUGGACAACAGAAAUGGCUAUGAAACAGUUGGAUCACGAUUUCGUGGGAAUCUGGUGCUCAGACUCCAAAACAGCAGUGAAUGACCUCCAGCUGGGCAACAUAAAAGUGCCCUACCCUGUUUGAAUGACUUACAUACACAGGAAGAAAGAAAGAGAGAUAUAGGAAAAACAAUGGAAAGAGAGAGACAAAUGGAGGUGUUUUUUCCCCCCAAAAGACUCUCUAUGGAGUAUCAAACAUUUUGAGUUUUUAGAUGUUUGCUCUGAGUAAAAAGGAAAUCUUCUCUGAGACCCCUGGUGGUCUAUGACUUUGCCUACUUGCUAUGUACAGUUAAAUUAGAGAAGGAAGAUGCGCCGCUACUUACAAAACUAUUUAUACGUGUGGACGUUUGCUUUCUGUCUCUUCCAGUACAAAAGAAAGAACAAAAAAGAUGUUUUAAUGAUGAGACAUGCAAGAGUUCUGUGUGGUCCGGUUCUUUGUAACCAUCAGUAUCACAAUCUCAAUGUCAUUUUUUUAGUUGAUGUUAUUCUUGUCAUCCAUGUUUCUUAUUAUAUUACAGUAUAUCUGAAUGAUGUCAAGUCUUGUAUAUGGUUUGGAUAUAUAUGUGCAAGGAGGAGAUGUGAGAGUCAGUACAGGAAGAUGCUUUAUUUUUGUUAUGAAAUAUAUUAAGCUUACUUAUAUCCAAGCAGGAAUUAUGUUUAUUUCUUUUGUUGUGGUUGAAUGCCUGUAUUUAAUCCAUUGGAAAAGAUACAAAAAUGUGGGCAGGGGGUGGGAUAGAUGAGAGAGGGAGAAAAGACAGCCAGUGUUUGUUAGCUGUGUACAUCAGUGCGUCAGAGCUGUGAAGAGGGCGGAUAGAGUGACUCAAACAUGGCAACUUCAUAGUGAGUGGCCAUACUGUAGCUUAUUCUACAGCCAUGAUAAGCACUGCCCAAUACUUUAUAAAACAAGUGACAUUUCAUUCAAACAUGCAUACAGCACAUUAAAAUGUGUUCAUGCCAAUCACAUAAAAAAUGUUAGAGCACUCUACUGUGCAUGUAUGCCUGUAUGCGGCGGGAUAGACAGGGUGUGUGUGCGCUCGCACACGAUUUCUCUUCUACAUGAAGCUAUUUUUCACCCAUAUCACUCUAACAUUGAUAAGGAGGAUGACCGCCAGCUCUGCCUUACAAGCACACAUGUUGUGCCUGCAAAGAGCAAAGUCCACCUUAAAGAGUAAAUGAGCAAGCGAAGCAAAUCGACAAGUGCAUGAAUGGGCUCCUUGUUUAGCCAGGCUUUACUCAUUUGUUGACAGGUGAACAACGACAUGUGAAGGUACUCACACCUUAUGCAGCCACAUAGCCAUAUAUCAGGACAGAUGAUGAUGAGUGCUCUGAGGUGGCCUGAAAAUAGCACAGUGCUGGCCUGAACAAUUACUUCCCCACCAGUUCCUGUAACAGUAAUGAAUGUGUAACCAGGCCAACACAGUAGAAAAACAAAUGUGUUCAAAUGAGGAAGUUUGAUGGAUAUUUUUCAGUCAAACAGUCAAAGGCGAAGAGUCAGUCACUGCACUGUGAAGUGAGUCAAGAGAAAGUCAAAUGAGAAAAGUUUGAUUGAAACAUGGCUGUAUCAGCUACUGCUGAGUUGUGGACGUCAGAUCCAACACACAUACACACAGCCCACCUGUGAAUGAACUAACCAUCAGUUGACUGGUGCUAUAUUUAUAAAGCUGAUGUUUCAUUACUGUUCACAUUCACAUUUACAUCAAUGUAAGUUAGUGUUCUUAGUAAACCAGGGACCACGCUUAGAGCCAUUUGAUUAAAGAAAAUGCCAUUAUGCUAUCACUAAGCCUUUAUUACUUUUCUUUUGGGCUCCCAUUGGAUAAAGACAGCAAUAAUCAUAAUUUAUAUAUUUAUGUUUUCAACAAUAAAUAUAUUUCUGCUUAUGAAAAUGUUCA